RNAcentral lists this long non-coding RNA (596 nucleotides) under Nicotiana benthamiana. RNAcentral describes it as "long non-coding RNA (NBEN_LNC033107)". Lineage: Eukaryota; Viridiplantae; Streptophyta; Magnoliopsida; Solanales; Solanaceae. The record is from RNAcentral.
UAAGAUUUCCAAAAAGUUUUGGACGGAUGCCGUGAGUACCGCAAGCUAUGUUUAAAACAGAGCUAUCAUUAGACCGAUACUCAUGAAAACUCCCUAUGAACUCUAUAAGGGAAGGAAACCAAAUCUUUCUCAUCUUAGAGUCUUCGGUUGUAANNNNNNNNNNNAGCUGUCAUAAGACCGAUACUCAUGAAAACUCCCUAUGAACUCUAUAAGGGAAGGAAACCAAAUCUUUCCCAUAUUAGAGUCUUCGGUUUUAAAUGUUUUGUUCACAACAACGGAAAAGAUAACUUGGGAAAAUUUGACGCAAAAUAUGAUGAAGGAAUUUUUCUUGGUUACUCAUCGCGUAGCAAAGCAUAUAGAGUUUCCAAUAAUCGAACCAAAACUGUUGAGGAAUCUCCUCAUGUAUUAUUUUGUGAAAAUGAUGCUCGCUUGGCGAGAAAGGAUUCUUGUGUUGAUCUUGCAGAUGCUUUAAAGAAAAUCAAUCUUCAAGACGAGGUGCAAAAGGAGGAUCCAAAGGAAGUUCAAGAUGAAGUCAUGGAACAACCUUCGGAAGAAGUACCACCACAAGAAGAAGAAUCGAUGAUGCCUAAGGCUUG